RNAcentral lists this unclassified non-coding RNA (344 nucleotides) under soil metagenome. Its description in RNAcentral is "partial contains 5.8S ribosomal RNA, internal transcribed spacer 2, and large subunit ribosomal RNA". The stretch from base 1 to 120 matches the Rfam family "5.8S ribosomal RNA", at positions 35 to 154 of the family's 154-position model. The record is from RNAcentral.
GAUGAAGAACGCAGCGAAAUGCGAUACGUAAUGUGAAUUGCAGAAUUCAGUGAAUCAUCGAGCCUUUGAACGCACAUUGCGCCCCCUGGUAUUCCGGGGGGCAUGCCUGUCCGAGCGUCAUUGCUGCCCUCAAGCACGGCUUGUGUGUUGGGCCUCCGUCCUCCUCCCGGGGGACGGGCCCGAAAGGCAGCGGCGGCACCGCGUCCGGUCCUCGAGCGUAUGGGGCUUCGUCACCCGCUCUUGUAGGCCCGGCCGGCGCUUGCCGACACAUCAAUCUUUUUUCCAGGUUGACCUCGGAUCAGGUAGGGAUACCCGCUGAACUUAAGCAUACAAUAAGCGGAGGA